UACGUAGGGCGCAAGCGUUAUCCGGAAUUAUUGGGCGUAAAGAGCUCGUAGGCGGUUUGUCGCGUCUGCUGUGAAAGACCGGGGCUCAACUCCGGUUCUGCAGUGGGUACGGGCAGACUAGAGUGCAGUAGGGGAGACUGGAAUUCCUGGUGUAGCGGUGAAAUGCGCAGAUAUCAGGAGGAACACCGGUGGCGAAGGCGGGUCUCUGGGCAUUAACUGACGCUGAGGAGCGAAAGCCAGGGAGCAAACGGG
Molecule: ribosomal RNA, 252 nt
Filed under: uncultured bacterium
Lineage: Bacteria
Description: partial 16S ribosomal RNA
Rfam family: Bacterial small subunit ribosomal RNA
Source: RNAcentral